This 434-nucleotide ribosomal RNA is filed under the name Geobacillus thermodenitrificans. RNAcentral's name for it is "bacterial SSU rRNA". It matches the Rfam family "Bacterial small subunit ribosomal RNA", at positions 8 to 430 of the family's 1533-position model. Lineage: Bacteria; Bacillati; Bacillota; Bacilli; Caryophanales; Anoxybacillaceae. The record is from RNAcentral.
AGAGUUUGAUCAUGGCUCAGGACGAACGCUGGCGGCGUGCCUAAUACAUGCAAGUCGAGCGGACCGAACGAGAGCUUGCUCUUGUUUGGUCAGCGGCGGACGGGUGAGUAACACGUGGGCAACCUGCCCGCAAGACCGGGAUAACUCCGGGAAACCGGAGCUAAUACCGGAUAACACCAAAGACCGCAUGGUCUUUGGUUGAAAGGCGGCUUCGGCUGUCACUUGCGGAUGGGCCCGCGGCGCAUUAGCUAGUUGGUGAGGUAACGGCUCACCAAGGCGACGAUGCGUAGCCGGCCUGAGAGGGUGACCGGCCACACUGGGACUGAGACACGGCCCAGACUCCUACGGGAGGCAGCAGUAGGGAAUCUUCCGCAAUGGACGAAAGUCUGACGGAGCGACGCCGCGUGAGCGAAGAAGGCCUUCGGGUCGUAAAG